UAGGGAAUAUUGCAAAAUGGGCGAAAGCCCGAUGCAGCAACGCCGCGUGGGCGAUGAAGGCCUUCGGGUCGUAAAGCCCUUUUUGAGGGGAUGAGGAUGGACAGUACCCUCAGAAUAAGCCUCGGCUAACUACGUGCCAGCAGCCGCGGUAAAACGUAGGAGGCGAGCGUUAUCCGGAUUUACUGGGCGUAAAGCGCGUGCAGGCGGAUUGGAGAGUUGGAUGUGAAAGCUCCCGGCUUAACUGGGAGAGGUCGUUCAAUACUUCCAGUCUUGAGUGCAGUAGAGGGAAGUGGAAUUCCGGGUGUAGCGGUGAAAUGCGUAGAUAUCCGGAGGAACACCAGUGGCGAAAGCGGCUUCCAGGACUGUAACUGACGCUCAGACGCGAAAGCUAGGGUAGCAAACG
Molecule: ribosomal RNA, 403 nt
Filed under: uncultured bacterium
Lineage: Bacteria
Description: bacterial SSU rRNA
Rfam family: Bacterial small subunit ribosomal RNA
Source: RNAcentral